This 201-nucleotide ribosomal RNA is filed under the name uncultured Lactobacillus sp. RNAcentral describes it as "partial 16S ribosomal RNA". It matches the Rfam family "Bacterial small subunit ribosomal RNA", at positions 161 to 354 of the family's 1533-position model. The record is from RNAcentral. Lineage: Bacteria; Bacillati; Bacillota; Bacilli; Lactobacillales; Lactobacillaceae.
UGCUAAUACCGGAUAAUAACAGAUGAUGCCUAUCAACUGUUUAAAAGAUGGUUCUGCUAUCACUCUUGGAUGGACCUGCGGUGCAUUAGCUAGUUGGUAGGGUAACGGCCUACCAAGGCGAUGAUGCAUAGCCGAGUUGAGAGACUGAUCGGCCACAUUGGGACUGAGACACGGCCCAAACUCCUACGGGAGGCAGCAGGC